GGCUCAGGAUGAACGCUAGCUACAGGCUUAACACAUGCAAGUCGAGGGGCAGCAUGUUGGUUGCUUGCAACCAAUGAUGGCGACCGGCGCACGGGUGAGUAACGCGUAUCCAACCUUCCCCUUAGUAGAGGAUAGCCCGGCGAAAGUCGGAUUAAUACUCUAUGUUCUUCAAUGCGGACAUCUAAGUUGAAGCAAAGAUUUAUCGCUAAGGGAUGGGGAUGCGUCUGAUUAGGUUGCAGGCGGGGUAACGGCCCACCUGGCCUACGAUCAGUAGGGGUUCUGAGAGGAAGGUCCCCCACACUGGUACUGAGACACGGACCAGACUCCUACGGGAGGCAGCAGUGAGGAAUAUUGGUCAAUGGGCGCGAGCCUGAACCAGCCAAGUAGCGUGCAGGACGAACCUGCCCUAUGGGUUGUAAACUGCUUUUAUCAGGGAAUAAAGUGAGGCACGCGUGCCUUUUUGUAUGUACCUGAUGAAUAAGGACCGGCUAAUUCCGUGCCAGCAGCUGC
This 510-nucleotide ribosomal RNA is filed under the name uncultured bacterium. RNAcentral describes it as "bacterial SSU rRNA". It matches the Rfam family "Bacterial small subunit ribosomal RNA", at positions 21 to 518 of the family's 1533-position model. The record is from RNAcentral.